This 843-nucleotide long non-coding RNA is filed under the name Homo sapiens (human). RNAcentral's name for it is "HSALNT0332579". The record is from RNAcentral. Lineage: Eukaryota; Metazoa; Chordata; Mammalia; Primates; Hominidae.
AGGAAUUUAAAGUGUGUGUAAUCAGAUAUCCAUUAAUUAAAACUAUUUAAGUGAGUGCCUAUAUUUGAGUAUCCACAGUACCCUACCAAAAAUCUUUACGCUACUUUUUCAAGCCUUUUACAUAUGAGAGAAAGAAGCAGACAAAUAACUAAUCUUAAGACAGUGUGACAAGUGCUAUAAAAGGAAUGUAAAUAGUAAUAUUAGAUCAGAGAGUAAAGGUACAUUACCUCCCCUCCGUGGAAAGAUCCAGAAGGCCUCCCUAGAAGGUGAUACUUAAUCUAAUGUUUGAUGUUUUUAUUUAACCAUUAACCAGAAUGGGUUGAAAAAGGGUGAAGGUUAUUCUUGGAAGCAAAGCUAUUUAACCCAAAGUCAUGCAACAGAAGAACCCAACUUCUCAGAGAGCUGUAAAUAUCCAGCUUGGGCAAAAUCUUUUUCCCUUGAAGACUGGAAAUAUUAUCCAUGUUGUCCUCCGGAAUAUUUUCAAUGACUUGUGCCCUGCCAGCUCUAGCUUUUGAAGGGUCUACACUCAUCAUCAACAGAUUCUGGGGGUUCAUGCACAGAUUUCUUACCUGGGUAUAUUGUGUGAUGCUGAGCUUUGGAGUUCAACUGAUUUCAUCACCCAGCAACCAGCCCAGGAAGCCAGCCCAUUAUCCAGAGGAACCAACCAAGGAAGCCAGCCUGCUCUCUAGAAGCUAGACUUGUAGGAAGCCAGACCACUGUCUCUAGCAACUGAUCCAGGAAGACAGAAAAGAACACCUCAAUAACAGGACCAAAGUGGCCAGGACUUGACUGAUGAGUAACUGACAGCUUCCCUAAUUUUUGGCCCUACUUCCAACAGAAGAA